Molecule: ribosomal RNA, 510 nt
Filed under: uncultured bacterium
Lineage: Bacteria
Description: partial 16S ribosomal RNA
Source: RNAcentral
GGAGUUAGCCGGUGCUUCUUCUGUGAGUGAUGUCCUUCCUGCCGGCUAUUAACCCGCAGGCCUUCUUCCUCACUGAAAGUGCUUUACAACCCGAAGGCCUUCUUCACACACGCGGCAUGGCUGGAUCAGGGUUGCCCCCAUUGUCCAAUAUUCCCCACUGCUGCCUCCCGUAGGAGUCUGGGCCGUGUCUCAGUCCCAGUGUGGCUGAUCAUCCUCUCAGACCAGCUACGGAUCGUCGCCUUGGUGAGCCGUUACCUCACCAACCAGCUAAUCCGACAUAGGCUCAUCCGAUAGCGCGAGGCCCGAAGGUCCCCCGCUUUCCCCCGUAGGGCGUAUGCGGUAUUAGCCUGGGUUUCCCCCAGGUUAUCCCCCACUACCGGGCAGAUUCCUAUGCAUUACUCACCCGUCCGCCGCUCGCCACCAGGGAGCAAGCUCCCCGUGCUGCCGCUCGACUUGCAUGUGUUAGGCCUGCCGCCAGCGUUCAAUCUGACGACAUCGAAUCAACUCUGA